Molecule: non-coding RNA, 28 nt
Filed under: Mus musculus (house mouse)
Lineage: Eukaryota; Metazoa; Chordata; Mammalia; Rodentia; Muridae
Source: RNAcentral
UAACCCAUUGGUGAGGUUCAAGUCCAGU